GAUGAACGCUAGCGGCAGGCCUAAUACAUGCAAGACGAACGGUAAGUUGAGUAGCAAUACUUAGCCAAGAGUGUCGUACGGGUGCGUAACACGUAUGCAACCUACCCUAUACAGGAGGAUAGCCUAGGGAAACCUGGAUUAACCCUUCAUAGUAUUAUUGGAUGGCAUCAUUUGAUAAUUAAAACUGAGGUGGUAUAGGAUGGGCAUGCGUCUGAUUAGUUAGUUGGCGGGGUAAUGGCCCACCAAGACGAUGAUCAGUAGGGGUUCUGAGAGGAAGAUCCCCACACUGGCACUGAGAUACGGGCCAGACUCCUACGGAGGCAGCAGUAGGGAAUAUUGGUC
RNAcentral lists this ribosomal RNA (342 nucleotides) under uncultured bacterium. RNAcentral describes it as "bacterial SSU rRNA". It matches the Rfam family "Bacterial small subunit ribosomal RNA", at positions 28 to 369 of the family's 1533-position model. The record is from RNAcentral.